CGGUGAAUACGUUCCCGGGCUUGUACACACCGCCCGUCAAGCCAUGGAAGCGUGGGGGCGCCCGAAGCCGGCAGCAAUGUCGUUUAAGGCGAACUUAGUAACUGGGGCU
Molecule: ribosomal RNA, 109 nt
Filed under: uncultured bacterium
Lineage: Bacteria
Description: partial 16S ribosomal RNA
Rfam family: Bacterial small subunit ribosomal RNA
Source: RNAcentral